Long non-coding RNA from Syzygium oleosum, 286 nucleotides. RefSeq lists it as uncharacterized. The record is from RefSeq and is a predicted model, not a curated record. NCBI's taxonomy places the organism in Eukaryota, Viridiplantae, Streptophyta, Magnoliopsida, Myrtales, Myrtaceae. The transcript is spliced from 2 exons.
GCCACGGCGGCGACCACCACGACAAGGAGGGUCACGAGAAGAAGGACAAGAAGCAUGAGCACGGCGGCGACAGCAGCAGCAGCGACAGCGACAGCGACCGAGCCCCCCCUGGUUCGCACUCAGGCGAACGGCAUUGGAUCGGAGCGAGAGGGCGUGCCGGCUGACUUCAUCCUUAUCGUCUACUCAUAUCAUAUUAGCGGGAAAAGAGAAAAAAUAACAAUAGGAGUCUGUAUUUGCUGCUUUGCUUUUGGUCCGAUGACAUGCUGGACGUGCAACUACUUAUGUA